UCUAAAUAGUUUAAGAAAAAUUUAAGUUUGUGGUACUUAAGAUGUAAAAUUUUACUUUGGACUA
This 64-nucleotide transfer RNA is filed under the name Semibalanus cariosus. Its description in RNAcentral is "tRNA-His". The record is from RNAcentral. Lineage: Eukaryota; Metazoa; Arthropoda; Thecostraca; Balanomorpha; Balanidae.